Anopheles arabiensis is the source of this 1055-nucleotide long non-coding RNA. RefSeq lists it as uncharacterized. The transcript is spliced from 2 exons. The record is from RefSeq and is a predicted model, not a curated record. NCBI's taxonomy places the organism in Eukaryota, Metazoa, Arthropoda, Insecta, Diptera, Culicidae.
GGAAGCCUUCUCCGGGAUGACCAGCGACUUCUGGCUCACCUCUUUGGAGGAAACACUUUCGCCGACCGCUUCUGUGAGGUUUACGCCGUCUGUGGGGAGAGAGAGAAAGCCACCGUCCACCCUUCCCUCAUCCGUUUUACUUCUGUCAACAUUUACUUUCGAGCACCGGGAAGGAAUCUGCGAUGAGCGAAAUGAGCACAGCGAAAUGGCAAACCGUUAUCCUCAUUAGAAUUCACCGUCUCCCUUUUUUUGGGGGUAGACAUUAACGUUGUCCCUUGCUUCGACCGACGCUCCGUGGACAGAAAUGUUUAAAUACUCGUCCACCACCACCAUCGCUCUUCUAUAUACAAAUUCCUCCACCCCUUGACAUAGUGCUCCGUGCUGUCAUCAGAAAUCGAUCAGAAGCGAAAUAAGAAGGUCAGCGCGUUUUAAUAUCCUACAAAAUUCAAUAUUUUGAUAGGAAACAAAGCGCUUCCGAUGGCAAAAAAGGCCCUUCACCCAUUCCCUGUGCCGUCCAAAUCGGCUGCACAAACGGCAAAGGAUAGAGAUGAUUUACAAAUCCGAUCAACAGUGUCGACAUUUGGCGCUCCAGCUCCAGUGUCCUCCUCCAUAAACCAAAACUUGCCUUUACCGUACUGUCGCAAGUGGAAAGAGGGGGAAAAGGUUUCGAUUUGCUUCUCUUCCACUAAAACAAACGGCACUUGAAUUCGCCACAAGAAAGGAUGGGGGGGGGGAGCUUUUGCGUGGAGGGUGGUCGAGAGUCGACGACAAAUUUCCCAUUGUGUCCGCUUCACAGACGGAAAAUAUUAAAGAGCCACGACGACACGAAGCAGGGAAGGAACGACGAUUGUUGUUGUCUCAAGACGAUCCCUUUGCUUCACGCCGACCUUCUCUAUUUGCCCGUCAAUGUUCAUCAUAUUACAAAACCAACCGAAGCGCUGCUGCCACCACUGCCGGAUGAUAUCGAGCCGGCAUUGUCUUCUGUAUCCUCCCACCCAUCAAAAAACCGUCUGGUUUGUCGCUUUGAAAAUAAAAAGCAAUAUCUUUCUCUUCAA